Long non-coding RNA from Fukomys damarensis (Damara mole-rat), 321 nucleotides. RefSeq lists it as uncharacterized. The record is from RefSeq and is a predicted model, not a curated record. The transcript is spliced from 3 exons. NCBI's taxonomy places the organism in Eukaryota, Metazoa, Chordata, Mammalia, Rodentia, Bathyergidae.
AUCCUCCGCUCGUACUCGCUGUCGGCAUGGGCUGCUCCCGAAGACCCGUACUCCUGCAAACUGAAGCACAGAUCAGCAUCAAUAAGGAACCUGAGGCAUGGAGAAGUUUAUUUGCCUACACUCAAAACUACUAAGUGGCAAGCUAGAACUUAAAACUCAGACCUGACUUCAGAUGAUGUAAUUUUUCGGAUGGGGACAGAACCCAGACCUCUGCAGACUCUAGGCUCUUCUCAGAAACAGGAAUCAUUCUCUACCUAGAGUUUAUGCAGGUGUGGCUCAAUGAGAUCAAACGUAUCCACAGCGCUACAGCAGCCCUGAGUG